Papaver somniferum (opium poppy) is the source of this 353-nucleotide long non-coding RNA. RefSeq lists it as uncharacterized. The transcript is spliced from 3 exons. The record is from RefSeq and is a predicted model, not a curated record. NCBI's taxonomy places the organism in Eukaryota, Viridiplantae, Streptophyta, Magnoliopsida, Ranunculales, Papaveraceae.
CUAUACUACAGUGUGGAAUUGCUUCAGGGGAAAAUGUGGAUCAAGAAGCACAAUUAAGGCUUUCUGAUUUUCAUAUGAUGGGGUCUGGAUUCUUAUCGAGGUUGUUUGGAAGAGGGUAUGAAGAUGAAAUGGAGAAUUUUAUGAGAUGGAAGUGCAAUAGCGGAAGUAUUGACAAUCAGGCAAUUUUAUUGGAGCCAGAAAACGAGAAGGUUUUCUUGGAGAAAAUUAGAAACAAAUAAGUAUCACAGGUUGCACUAUCGUGUAUGCCUGUGUUUCAAUUUUUCUAAUUACAAUAUCUGCAUUUCAAUGGUUUCUGACUCAGGUCAUAAGGUUUGUUGUUACAAUUGACCAGG